CCGAACCGACUAAUGUUGAAAAAUUAGCGGAUGACCUGUGGCUGGGGGUGAAAGGCCAAUCAAACCGGGAGAUAGCUGGUUCUCCCCGAAAGCUAUUUAGGUAGCGCCUCGUGAAUUCAUCUCCGGGGGUAGAGCACUGUUUCGGCUAGGGGGCCAUCCCGGCUUACCAACCCGAUGCAAACUGCGAAUACCGGAGAAUGUUAUCACGGGAGACACACGGCGGGUGCUAACGUCCGUCGUGAAGAGGGAAACAACCCAGACCGCCAGCUAAGGUCCCAAAGUCAUGGUUAAGUGGGAAACGAUGUGGGAAGGCCCAGACAGCCAGGAUGUUGGCUUAGAAGCAGCCAUCAUUUAAAGAAAGCGUAAUAGCUCACUGGUCGAGUCGGCCUGCGCGGAAGAUGUAACGGGGCUAAACCAUGCACCGAAGCUGCGGCAGCGACACUGUGUGU
RNAcentral lists this ribosomal RNA (449 nucleotides) under Salmonella enterica. Its description in RNAcentral is "partial 23S ribosomal RNA". It matches the Rfam family "Bacterial large subunit ribosomal RNA", at positions 774 to 1221 of the family's 2925-position model. Lineage: Bacteria; Pseudomonadati; Pseudomonadota; Gammaproteobacteria; Enterobacterales; Enterobacteriaceae. RNAcentral also lists the same sequence under 1 other name. The record is from RNAcentral.